AGAGUUUGAUCCUGGCUCAGRAYGAACGCURGCGGSRKGCCUAACACAUGCAAGUCGAACGGRRUUGAGGRGCUUGCUUCYCAWSWKAGUGGCGCACGGGUGAGUAACGCGUAUGCAACCUACCUUUAACAGAGGGAUAGCCCAUAGAAAUGUGGAUUAAAACCUCAUAGUUCUAUUUGAUCGCAUGAUCAGAUAGAUAAAACUCCGGUGGUUAAAGAUGGGCAUGCGUGACAUUAGCUAGUUGGUAAGGUAACGGCUUACCAAGRCUACGAUGUCUAGGGGUUCUGAGAGGAUGAUCCCCCACACUGGUACUGAGACACGGACCAGACUCCUACGGGAGGCAGCAGUGAGGAAUAUUGGUCAAUGGGCGCAAGCCUGAACCAGCCAUCCCGCGUGAAGGAUGAAGGUCCUAUGGAUUGUAAACUUCUUUUAUACACCAAGAAAAACUCGAACGUGUUCGAGCCCGACGGUAGUGUAUGAAUAAGCAUCGGCUAACUCCGUGCCAGCAGCCGCGGUAAUACGGAGGAUGCAAGCGUUAUCCGGAUUCAUUGGGUUUAAAGGGUGCGUAGGCGGCUCUUUAAGUCAGUGGUGAAAUCCUGCCGCUUAACGGUAGAAUUGCCAUUGAUACUGAAGAGCUUGAGUACAGUUGAGGUAGGCGGAAUGUGUAGUGUAGCGGUGAAAUGCUUAGAUAUUACACAGAACACCGAUUGCGAAGGCAGCUUACUAAACUGUUACUGACGCUGAUGCACGAAAGCGUGGGGAGCGAACAGGAUUAGAUACCCUGGUAGUCC
This 791-nucleotide ribosomal RNA is filed under the name uncultured bacterium. RNAcentral describes it as "bacterial SSU rRNA". It matches the Rfam family "Bacterial small subunit ribosomal RNA", at positions 8 to 796 of the family's 1533-position model. The record is from RNAcentral.